Molecule: ribosomal RNA, 468 nt
Filed under: uncultured bacterium
Lineage: Bacteria
Description: partial 16S ribosomal RNA
Rfam family: Bacterial small subunit ribosomal RNA
Source: RNAcentral
GACGAACGCUGGCGGCGUGCUUAACACAUGCAAGUCGAACGGAAAGGCCCUGCUUUUGUGGGGUGCUCGAGUGGCGAACGGGUGAGUAACACGUGAGUAACCUGCCCUUGACUUUGGGAUAACUUCAGGAAACUGGGGCUAAUACCGAAUAGGACCUCCUGCUGCUGGGUGGGGGUUGGAAAGUUUCGGCGGUUGGGGAUGGACUCGCGGCUUAUCAGCUUGUUGUUGGGGUAGUGGCUUACCAAGGCUUUGACGGGUAGCCGGCCUGAGAGGGUGACCGGCCACAUUGGGACUGAGAUACGGCCCAGACUCCUACGGGAGGCAGCAGUGGGGAAUAUUGCACAAUGGGCGGAAGCCUGAUGCAGCAACGCCGCGUGCGGGAUGACGGCCUUCGGGUUGUAAACCGCUUUCGCCUGUGACGAAGCGUGAGUGACGGUAAUGGGUAAAGAAGUACCGGCUAACUACGUG